Molecule: ribosomal RNA, 514 nt
Filed under: uncultured bacterium
Lineage: Bacteria
Description: partial 16S ribosomal RNA
Rfam family: Bacterial small subunit ribosomal RNA
Source: RNAcentral
AACGAACGCUGGCGGCGUGCUUAACACAUGCAAGUCGAACGUGAAAUGUAGCAAUACAGAGUAAAGUGGCGUACGGGUGAGUAACACGUGGGUAAUCUACCAAAGAGCCUGGAAUAACCGACCGAAAGGUUGGCUAAUACUGGAAAGUUCAAAUGAAAUAUAAUGUUUCGAUUGGGAAAGGGAGCGAGCAAUCGCCUUCACUCUUUGAUGAGCCCGCGUCUGAUUAGCUAGUUGGUAGGGUAAUGGCCUACCAAGGCGACGAUCAGUAGCUGGUCUGAGAGGAUGAUCAGCCACACUGGAACUGAAACACGGUCCAGACUCCUACGGGAGGCAGCAGUGGGGAAUCUUGCGCAAUGGACGAAAGUCUGACGCAGCCACGCCGCGUGAGUGAAGAAGGCCUUCGGGUUGUAAAGCUCUGUCGGAAGGGACAAAAACGUUUAAGGUUAAUAGCCUUAGAUCUUGAUGGUACCUUCAAAGGAAGCACCGGCUAACUUCGUGCCAGCAGCCGCAGUAA